This 73-nucleotide small RNA is filed under the name Xanthomonas campestris pv. paulliniae. Its description in RNAcentral is "sX9 sRNA". It matches the Rfam family "Xanthomonas sRNA sX9". The record is from RNAcentral. Lineage: Bacteria; Pseudomonadati; Pseudomonadota; Gammaproteobacteria; Lysobacterales; Lysobacteraceae.
AUGUAUUCCGCGGACAGGCGGUUCUUGCGCGCCGCCCACGCCCGCCCGACGACGCUCGUUGCGUUUGUGGGAC